RNAcentral lists this ribosomal RNA (468 nucleotides) under uncultured bacterium. RNAcentral describes it as "partial 16S ribosomal RNA". It matches the Rfam family "Bacterial small subunit ribosomal RNA", at positions 28 to 507 of the family's 1533-position model. The record is from RNAcentral.
GACGAACGCUGGCGGCGUGCUUAACACAUGCAAGUCGAACGGAAAGGCCCUGCUUUUGUGGGGUGCUCGAGUGGCGAACGGGUGAGUAACACGUGAGUAACCUGCCCUUGACUUUGGGAUAACUUCAGGAAACUGGGGCUAAUACCGGAUAGGAGCUCCUGCUGCGUGGUGGGGGUUGGAAAGUUUCGGCGGUUGGGGAUGGACUCGGGGCUUAUCAGCUUGUUGGUGGGGUAGUGGCUUACCAAGGCUUUGACGGGUAGCCGGCCUGGGAGGGUGACCGGGCACAUUGGGCCUGAGGUACGGGCCGGAGUCAUACGGGAGGCAGGAGUGGGAAAUGUUGCGAGAUGGGCGGAGGCCGUGUGGAGCAACGCCGGGUGCGGAAUGACGGCCUUCGGGUUGUAAACCGCUUUCGCCUGUGACGAAGCGUGAGUGACGGUAAUGGGUAAAGAAGCACCGGCUAACUACGUG